RNAcentral lists this ribosomal RNA (621 nucleotides) under uncultured Actinomycetes bacterium. Its description in RNAcentral is "bacterial SSU rRNA". It matches the Rfam family "Bacterial small subunit ribosomal RNA", at positions 830 to 1450 of the family's 1533-position model. Lineage: Bacteria; Bacillati; Actinomycetota; Actinomycetes. The record is from RNAcentral.
CAUUCCACGUUCUCUGCGCCGCAGCUAACGCAUUAAGCGUCCCGCCUGGUGAGUACGACCGCAAGGUUAAUACUCAAAGGAAUUGACGGGGGCCCGCACAAGCAGCGGAGCAUGCGGCUUAAUUCGAUGCUACGCGAAGAACCUUACCUAGGCUUGACAUGCAUUGAAAACUGUUAGAGAUAACAGGUCCGCAAGGGCUUUGCACAGGUGGUGCAUGGCUGUCGUCAGCUCGUGUCGUGAGAUGUUGGGUUAAGUCCCGCAACGAGCGCAACCCUCGUCUUGUGUUGCCAACAGGUAAUGCUGGGAACUCACAAGAGACUGCCGGGGUCAACUCGGAGGAAGGUGGGGACGACGUCAAGUCAUCAUGCCCCUUAUGUCUAGGGCUGCACGCAUGCUACAAUGGCCGAUACAAAGGGCUGCGAUACCGCAAGGUGGAGCGAAUCCCAUAAAGUCGGUCUCAGUUCGGAUUGAGGUCUGCAACUCGACCUCAUGAAGUUGGAGUUGCUAGUAAUCGCGGAUCAGCAACGCCGCGGUGAAUACGUUCCCGGGCCUUGUACACACCGCCCGUCACGUCACGAAAGUCGGUAACACCCAAAACCAGUGGUCCAACCGUAAGGGGGA